UGGGCUUGACAUGGUGCUGCAAGCGCACGGAAACGUGUGACCUUCGAGGGUGCACCACAGAUGCUGCAUGGCUGUCGUCAGCUCGUGUCGUGAGAUGUUGGGUUAAGUCCCGCAACGAGCGCAACCCUCGUCCUAUGUUGCCAGCACGCCCUUCGGGGUGGUGGGGACUCAUAGGAGACUGCCGGGGUCAACUCGGAGGAAGGUGGGGAUGACGUGCCUUACAGCGUAC
RNAcentral lists this unclassified non-coding RNA (229 nucleotides) under uncultured Actinomycetes bacterium. Its description in RNAcentral is "uncultured actinobacterium contains 16S-23S intergenic spacer region". It matches the Rfam family "Bacterial small subunit ribosomal RNA", at positions 976 to 1203 of the family's 1533-position model. Lineage: Bacteria; Bacillati; Actinomycetota; Actinomycetes. The record is from RNAcentral.